GUCCUUGUAACGCAGUGGACAGCGCGCUGGACUUCCAAUCCAAAGGUCGUGGGUUUGAAUCCCACCUAGGAUG
Trichonephila clavipes is the source of this 73-nucleotide non-coding RNA. NCBI's taxonomy places the organism in Eukaryota, Metazoa, Arthropoda, Arachnida, Araneae, Nephilidae. The record is from the annotation of a GenBank genome assembly.